AUCCAUCUGACGAGUCCGAAUUAGGAUGAAACACGCGUCCUGGAU
Molecule: non-coding RNA, 45 nt
Organism: Schistosoma mansoni
Lineage: Eukaryota; Metazoa; Platyhelminthes; Trematoda; Strigeidida; Schistosomatidae
Source: Rfam